RNAcentral lists this long non-coding RNA (828 nucleotides) under Mus musculus (house mouse). RNAcentral describes it as "RIKEN cDNA 5031425E22 gene". The record is from RNAcentral. Lineage: Eukaryota; Metazoa; Chordata; Mammalia; Rodentia; Muridae.
GUUGCAAAGGCAGAGAGUGAGAAGUGAUGACGGUGAUCGUUGUCGCCGCGUCUUCUGUGGAACCCAAGCAGUGCCGAAGGAAGUCGCAAGGCUCUUCCCCGACCUUUUGCUCCUCUCCCUGCGCGAGCCUCAGCUUACAAUGUAGCCCAAGCUGGCCCUUGGAUGUGUGGCAGUCGUACCUCUACCUCCUGAGCACUGAGAUUAUAGAGAUCUAGGCUUACAUUGCUGUUAAGCCUCCAACAGCGGCAGCCAGAUGGUGCAGUGUUUUUGAAACAGGCUCUGAUAAAUCCACAAAGAGGCCACUUGAGGUUGCAUCAAGUAACCAAUGAGAACUAACCAGGACAACUACCAACAGAAAUGCCCUUUUGCCAACUGACAAAUGGUGCUAUUUAGUGUAGUCGUUUUGUCAAACUUCUCAGAUCCAGGCCUCUGAGUCGGUCCACCUCAGUAUCUACCUCAUCUAUGAACUGCUGAGCAUGUGAAGGGGCCGGUCCUGCAGAUCCAAAGCUGCAGGAACUCCAUGACACGGGACAACAGGAUAUCCAAGAAGAGUCCUGAUGAGGAUCUGUAUUAAUGGUAUAACAGUAGCCAGAGGCCUUAAAGCACACCAAUGAAUAAUUGCAAUGAAAUUGAAUUUGCAGGUAAAGAAGUGUGGACAAAGGGUAUACUGUGGAACGUACUGUGACACACUGUGAUACACUACAGCUUCGUUUAUUUUUAUUUUUUAUUUUCUUUGGGGUGGAGGUUGCAAGGGUGGAGAUCAGGAGACAGGGCAAUGAAUGGAAUUGGGGUAUCUGAUGUAAAAUUCACAAAGAGUCAAUAAAAAGU